Molecule: ribosomal RNA, 307 nt
Filed under: uncultured soil bacterium
Lineage: Bacteria
Description: bacterial SSU rRNA
Rfam family: Bacterial small subunit ribosomal RNA
Source: RNAcentral
AGAACGAACGCUGGCGGCAGGCUUAACACAUGCAAGUCGAACGGUCUCUUCGGAGGCAGUGGCAGACGGGUGAGUAACGCGUGGGAAUCUACCUAGUUCUGCGGAACAACAGUUGGAAACGACUGCUAAUACCGCAUACGCCCUACGGGGGAAAGAUUUAUCGGAAUUAGAUGAGCCCGCGUAAGAUUAGCUAGUUGGUGGGUAAUGGCCUACCAAGGCGACGAUCUUUAGCUGGUCUGAGAGGAUGAUCAGCCACACUGGGACUGAGACACGGCCCAGACUCCUACGGGAGCAGCAGUGGGGAAUA